This 710-nucleotide ribosomal RNA is filed under the name uncultured bacterium. Its description in RNAcentral is "bacterial SSU rRNA". It matches the Rfam family "Bacterial small subunit ribosomal RNA", at positions 94 to 823 of the family's 1533-position model. The record is from RNAcentral.
AGCGGCGGACGGGUGAGUAACGCGUGGGUAACCUGCCCUGUACACACGGAUAACAUACCGAAAGGUAUGCUAAUACGAGAUAAUGUGCUUUUAUCGCAUGGUAGAAGUAUCAAAGCUUUUGCAGUACAGGAUGGACCCGCGUCUGAUUAGCUAGUUGGUAAGGUAACGGAUUACCAAGGCGACGAUCAGUAGCCGACCUGAGAGGGUGAUCGGCCACAUUGGAACUGAGACACGGUCCAAACUCCUACGGGAGGCAGCAGUGGGGAAUAUUGCACAAUGGGCGAAAGCCUGAUGCAGCAACGCCGCGUGAGCGAUGAAGGCCUUCGGGUCGUAAAGCUCUGUCCUCAAGGAAGAUAAUGACGGUACUUGAGGAGGAAGCCCCGGCUAACUACGUGCCAGCAGCCGCGGUAAUACGUAGGGGGCUAGCGUUAUCCGGAAUUACUGGGCGUAAAGGGUGCGUAGGUGGUUUCUUAAGUCAGAGGUGAAAGGCUACGGCUCAACCGUAGUAAGCCUUUGAAACUGGGAAACUUGAGUGCAGGAGAGGAGAGUGGAAUUCCUAGUGUAGCGGUGAAAUGCGUAGAUAUUAGGAGGAACACCAGUUGCGAAGGCGGCUCUCUGGACUGUAACUGACACUGAGGCACGAAAGCGUGGGGAGCAAACAAGAUUAGAUACCCUGGUAGUCCACGCCGUAAACGAUGAGUACUAGCUGU